UUUCACGUGUUAAAUCUGAUUUUAGAUUCUUGUUUCCUGUUCACCAGAUACAUCAUGUUUCCAAGGGUUGUUUCUAUGUCCUGAAGCAGCAUCCUUGCUUCUCCAUAAUUUCUGCAUCUACCAUAUCAGCCCUCCAGGACAUGAGUUGGGCGCUGCUCCAAUAUGUUCUGAUGAUCCCUCCCCUUCAGUCGAAGAUCUUGCAGACCAGAUUCUUGAAGUUGUAAACUUUUUUGGUCUUGGUGCAGUAAUGUGCAUGGGGGUCACUGCAGGUGCUUACGUCCUUACCUUAUU
Molecule: long non-coding RNA, 291 nt
Organism: Tarenaya hassleriana
Lineage: Eukaryota; Viridiplantae; Streptophyta; Magnoliopsida; Brassicales; Cleomaceae
Exons: 3
Source: RefSeq, a predicted model, not a curated record